Molecule: long non-coding RNA, 1965 nt
Organism: Gasterosteus aculeatus aculeatus (three-spined stickleback)
Lineage: Eukaryota; Metazoa; Chordata; Actinopteri; Perciformes; Gasterosteidae
Source: Ensembl
GUCAAAAACAAGACAUCUGAAAUGAGUUAAGCUUGAUUAAUCUUGAUGUGUGCAUCUUCUCACUGAACAUGACUUGCGUUACAUGAACCGACGUCACGCCGCACUGAGAGAAUCAUCCUCACUAUACGACACAGUUUUCAAAGGGAGACUUUUUUUUUUUUUUAGUUUUAGUGUCGUUGUAGUUUCUAAGCAACAGAAAUCCGGGUACGAAGAGUUCGAUGAAGCAGCAGACGGCUUCACGAGGAACGAGCGACUUCAUCUCAAGUUGAACAACAAGUAACACAACGACACCGAGCACACAAACGCAGAGGAGGCAAAUACUUCAUGUUAACACAACGCGCAAAACACAGGAACCGCGUCUCCAGCCUGCUUUCCACAUGAAGUAGCACAAACUCAUUGCAGCUACAGAUUCGACGGGCACAACUUGAGAGCAACUGGUCUCAGAGCUUCUGAAUACAUAAAUAUGGACUCCGCCCAAGUCUGAAAUGUUAACACGCUGAUCCGUCCGCAUCCACUGUUUUCAACGUGAGCAAGAUGGCCGCUGCUGGGAGAAGGCCCUCGCGGUCGGCGCGCCAUGUGACCACGGCAACCACAGAAAACCUCAGCAAAGGAACCGAUACAGGAGCCGGAUAUCACAAUGACUUGGCCUCGGAUUCCCUGUGCGGUUGCAAAUUCCCAACGAGGACACUGAAGUCAAUGCCCAUCCAAUUACUUCGUUCUAAAGUAUGUAAAAUCAUGCAACGGUGAGGAAAGGAAGGAUUAGGCUACGGCUCGACUAUAGCAUGAGGUUCUCUUUCCUUCCAAAGACUCUGAAUGUCAAAUCUUUUUUUUUCUUUUGUGUGUGUGUGUGUGUUGUUUAAUUAGAGAAUGCUUAUCAUAGACGCAUGGCGCGCUACUGAGAGGUGACAGCACCCCAGUGUUGUAAAAUUAAUUAUAUCACUAAUGUGGACCCUGUGCAUGUGAAAUAGCUGAACUCUCCCCAAAUAGCUCAUUAAUCUUCAGACAGCCACUCCUGGACUAGGUGAAGUGGUCUUGAAUUUCAAUACCCAUCCUUGCUGGUUGUAACCUUUCCCUCCUCUCGCUCGAGCAGCCGAUGGGGGAACAGGAGCAUUGGAGAGAGAAUAAUAUUGUCUGCAGCGGUAUCUCUAGCACUUCUCUCUGUGAGUCAUAUAAUUACACACACCUACGCAGUUUUCCUAAACACACACACACUCUCUCUCACACACACACACUUGCGCAAAACCAGGCUUAGAGUUUAAAGUGGAGUACGCCCGAGAAGUGCUGAUGUAUCCUAUGAUUAUUAAAAAAAGAAAAAAUACUGCCCGCCGCACUAGCAUAAACAAAUCACUUGAAAUGAAAUUUUUCAGGUAAUAAAAGUGCGUUCUUGAAAAAGACCAAACUGGACCCCACUGGUUCUUAUCCGUUUUUAGCCGUCGCAGCAAAAGUAUGCAGGAAAUUAAAGUUCUCGAUUUAAAGAUUUGUUUGAUACACUGCAAACCUUUCCACUUGUUAUUAAAGCCCUCCAGAGAUUUUUAUCGUAUCACAUGAUCAUUAGUGGAUGGAAUGGAGUUUUUAUCUGGAACCUUUUUCUUACUCCUGCAUUAGAGCAUCGCAAGCAGGAAUAGCAAGAGAGAGCAAUAAGAGGACUGUGAAGAUUAAAGCGUCAGCGAAAUUUUGGUUGCCAGGUGAAACUAAAGAAUGAUAGAUCCUAAAUUUCCCACAGUGCAACGUUUACAGUGUUUUUUAUCACUUUCCACGCUUGGUUAAUACCAACAUCCAUCAGUUCCCAAAACAUCAGCAGUUCCGGAUGAUGUAAAGAAAAACAAAUUAUGUCAGUCAGUUCGACCUUAAACAACCGCUUUAUUACUGGAUGAACUUUGUGUGUAAAAUCAAUGCGGUGCUGUUUUAUCAAAUGGCUAUUUUUUACCUCCCAAACAGCCGUUUAUUAAACAAUUUUGCAUCAGU